Molecule: long non-coding RNA, 1207 nt
Filed under: Homo sapiens (human)
Lineage: Eukaryota; Metazoa; Chordata; Mammalia; Primates; Hominidae
Description: HSALNT0072931
Source: RNAcentral
UUUAUGUUGCAUUAUUUAAUUAGAAACAGCUGUUUGAAGUUUACUGAAAAGCUAAUAAGCCUGAAGUUUUGGGAGACACUUAGAAUACAUUGAUUAGUUAUGAGAAGCUAGGAAAUUGCUGUUUUAGUAUCCAUGAUUUUAACAUUUUGCUUAUUUUGCAGGACCUUUAAUUACGCAACACAACGUCUCACAGUAUUAUAAAAUUAUCCUAAGAUUACAAAGUUGUUUACUUUUAAAGGACAAUUAAAACUUUAUACAGUUGAUGAUUAUAGCGUCUCUCUUAAGAAAAUUGUGGAUUCAGUAAGAUAUGGAAGAGAUCUCAUGGCUCUGAGAGCCAGAGUGAGAUAGUUAGCACAAGCAACCUCCGAAGUUGCAGCUUCAUAUUUACCCAGAGUAAGACUGUACUAUAGAAAAUAUUAUCCUGAAAUAUACAUACUAUUUUCUUGUACUGAAAAGGACAAAUAAUUCAAAAGUUUUAGAUAAUUAAAUUAAGGAAAGAUGACUUAUCGAAAGACUUCAGGGUCUGUGUAGCUCCCUCUACACUUCCAUUUAAUUGCGUUUUCCUUUACUUCCUGAAAUUGUUUUAAUUCCUUGGAUAGCCUUGGAUACCCUAGUAUAUCUGGAGUUAGGGUAAUUAAUCCCUUUACUUGAAUGACGCAGAGAGGUUUAGACAAAUAUAGAUAAAGUGGAAAACUUGUUUUAAAUAUCUUUUCAAUAAUAAAUAAUUAAAUGUCUGUUAAAGUAAAUUUUGAGGCCAACACACUUAUUGCUGUCUUCAACAGCCUCUCUCUCAGUCUCCUGAAUCUUAAUGCUGCUUUCAUCAUUUUGCAUGUAAUCUGACUAAAGACUCAAAAGUUUGCACGGAAACACCUUUCAACAGAUGCAAUGACCUUUUACUCUGCCUAGAAUAGUGAAUCUCAAAGCAUGACCAACUUAUCACCUGCUUCAGGAUGUUUGUUUAAAUUCCUUGAAGAAAGAUGCAGAAAUCUGUACUUAUGGAAUCUUUUAGGGUACCAAAGACUUGAACUUAAAACCAUAGCCUGGAUCUUUCUCUUUGUCAAUCUUGAUGAUCACAAAUAUUCAUGAAUCCUCACGUCACAAGAAAAAAAAGUUUUGAAUUGUUCUCAUCACCUUGAUGCUUAUAUUUAUGGUGUUUGAAGUUACCACUUCAUAUAAAUGUGCCAUGGGAAAUUAUUAUCAUUCUUUA